Molecule: ribosomal RNA, 478 nt
Filed under: uncultured Alternaria
Lineage: Eukaryota; Fungi; Ascomycota; Dothideomycetes; Pleosporales; Pleosporaceae
Description: eukaryotic LSU rRNA
Rfam family: 5.8S ribosomal RNA (bases 121-274)
Source: RNAcentral
CUGAAUUAUUCACCCUUGUCUUUUGCGUACUUCUUGUUUCCUUGGUGGGUUCGCCCACCACUAGGACAAACAUAAACCUUUUGUAAUUGCAAUCAGCGUCAGUAACAAAUUAAUAAUUACAACUUUCAACAACGGAUCUCUUGGUUCUGGCAUCGAUGAAGAACGCAGCGAAAUGCGAUAAGUAGUGUGAAUUGCAGAAUUCAGUGAAUCAUCGAAUCUUUGAACGCACAUUGCGCCCUUUGGUAUUCCAAAGGGCAUGCCUGUUCGAGCGUCAUUUGUACCCUCAAGCUUUGCUUGGUGUUGGGCGUCUUGUCUCUAGCUUUGCUGGAGACUCGCCUUAAAGUAAUUGGCAGCCGGCCUACUGGUUUCGGAGCGCAGCACAAGUCGCACUCUCUAUCAGCAAAGGUCUAGCAUCCAUUAAGCCUUUUUUUCAACUUUUGACCUCGGAUCAGGUAGGGAUACCCGCUGAACUUAAGCU